CAGAGGGCUCCUGGGACAGGUUCUUGCUCAAUGUCUAGGUCAGCUGGGGGGAGGGGGGGUGGGGCACCUCCGGAUGGGACCUGUGUUAGAAGCUACUGCCUCUGGUCAGUCCCAAGCAUGGCCUUUGAACUGACCCAACAACGGGGUAGGGGUGGGGGUGUAGAUUUCCGAAAAAACAGAGCUCAUUCUCAGCUCUUCUGUUAGCUUCUCUGAGCCUCAGUUCCCUUUAUCAGGAAAAUGGGCACACAGCUGCCCCGUGGGUGCCUGUAGGGAGGACCUGUGUUUGUCACACAGCCUGCCCCCUCCUCUGUUGAGUGACCUCAGCCCAGGUUGACCUCCGGGGCACCUCAGCCUGAUCUUAGGCUUCGAGGUUUCCCUUCCAUCUCAACCCCUCAGAUGCUCACACAGCAGCUCUCAAGGCCCCUGUCUGACCCCGUGCUGUGUCUUACGGGGAACACAGCCAGGGGAGCACAACCAGAGGAGCCUGCUGUGUGUGUGCGGGGUGAGUGUUGUAACUUUCCAACCCCAAGCUCAUCACUCAGCCUGGGGACUGGUGAGAAGGACAGUGCUCAGGGCCAAAGGGGCCCUGCAACCCAGCCGGCAGGGAGGUGAGUGUCUGGGCACAGACCCCUGGCAGCCUCUAAUCUCCUGCCCCUCAAGGGGCUGCAGGUGUCUCCUGGGGAUGCAGCCUCCCCGGUAGCUUGAACUAGGAGAGGGACUCAGGAAGCCCUGCCCCAGGUCUGGACCCCUAUCCCAAAAGGCAUGGCCUCUUUCCUGUCUUUACAAUGGUUGUAGUGACAUCCACUGGGCUGCAUGGGAGGGGGAAUGAGAAAGGUCUGCCAAAGCUGUAGACAGAGUAUGAACAAGUGCUUGUCCUUCUUUUGUCUCCCCACCCACCCUGGGAGAAGCCUCUUAGGCAAACACCUGUCCCCUCAUUUUGAUUUCUGACAAGGAAUCUCAUUCUGUCCCGUGAGGUGCACUGGGAAGGUGAGGCGGUGGAGCAGAUGCACUGGGUUGCGUGGAGGUCACGGAGUGGAGACCAAGCCGGCAGCUGUCCGAUCCUCAACCCGCUCCACUGGCAACCAGCGCAGGGACCGUGGCUUGGAGGCGAUCGGCGAGGGGCGCACAUCCAGGGAGCACGAGAAGAGGAUCCAGGACCCCACCCCAAGGCCCAUCCACCCCAGUCGCCGAGGGCGCCGGGGCCUCGCGCCACACCUGUCCGCUCCUCCCGGAGGCCCCGGCGCCGCUGCUGCCGGCCCCUCGGCGCGGAGCCCUGUGUCCGCCGUCGCUUUGAUCCCGGGGGCCCCGCUGGAUAAAAGUCCCGGGCGGCUCCGCGCCAGCGCCAGAGGGGGAGGCAGCCGAGCCGGGCGUACCAGCGGGCUGGCGCAGGACAAGCGACGCCGAGGAGCCGGGGCCGCGGGGCCGCCCGCGCCGGCCGCGGUGAGCGCGGGGCUCCGGGCGCGUUCGGGGUGGGGGAUGCCGGCCGGGGUCCGGGUGGCCCGCGGGCUGCUCUGGGCCUGGGCAGCGAGGGUGAGAGGGACCCCGGCGGCUCAGGUGAGCGCGGCCCCCCUGCGCCACCGGCCCGUCGGGCCCGGACCCGCUGCGCGGCGG
Molecule: long non-coding RNA, 1611 nt
Organism: Equus asinus (donkey)
Lineage: Eukaryota; Metazoa; Chordata; Mammalia; Perissodactyla; Equidae
Source: Ensembl